This 250-nucleotide ribosomal RNA is filed under the name uncultured bacterium. RNAcentral's name for it is "partial 16S ribosomal RNA". It matches the Rfam family "Bacterial small subunit ribosomal RNA", at positions 524 to 773 of the family's 1533-position model. The record is from RNAcentral.
UACGUAGGGUGCGAGCGUUAAUCGGAAUUACUGGGCGUAAAGGGCGCGUAGGUGGCUUGGUAAGCGUGUGGUGAAAGUCCGGGGCUCAACCCCGGAUCUGCCAUGCGAACUGCCGAGCUCGAGCAUUGUAGAGGCAGGUGGAAUUUCGGGUGUAGCGGUGGAAUGCGUAGAUAUCCGAAAGAACACCGGUGGCGAAGGCGGCCUGCUGGGCAAUUGCUGACACUGAGGCGCGACAGCGUGGGGAGCAAAC